UCUUAGUGGCGGACGGGUGAGUAACGCGUGGGUAACCUGCCUUAUACAGGGGGAUAACACUUAGAAAUAGGUGCUAAUACCGCAUAAGCGCACGGGGCUGCAUGGCCCAGUGUGAAAAACUCCGGUGGUAUAAGAUGGACCCGCGUCUGAUUAGCUUGUUGGCGGGGUAACGGCCCACCAAGGCGACGAUCAGUAGCCGGCCUGAGAGGGUGGACGGCCACAUUGGGACUGAGACACGGCUCAAACUCCUACGGAAGGCAGCAG
This 264-nucleotide ribosomal RNA is filed under the name uncultured bacterium. RNAcentral's name for it is "partial 16S ribosomal RNA". It matches the Rfam family "Bacterial small subunit ribosomal RNA", at positions 90 to 354 of the family's 1533-position model. The record is from RNAcentral.